GCUCGAGAAGCUCAAUUGGUUGAGCGGGGUCUUGAAGCGACCUAGGCUGUAAGUUCAAAUCUUAUCUCGAGCA
Erysiphe necator (grape powdery mildew) is the source of this 73-nucleotide transfer RNA. It matches the Rfam family "tRNA". Rfam says of the family: Transfer RNA (tRNA) molecules are approximately 80 nucleotides in length. Their secondary structure includes four short double-helical elements and three loops (D, anti-codon, and T loops). Further hydrogen bonds mediate the characteristic L-shaped molecular structure. tRNAs have two regions of fundamental functional importance: the anti-codon, which is responsible for specific mRNA codon recognition, and the 3' end, to which the tRNAs corresponding amino acid is attached (by aminoacyl-tRNA synthetases). tRNAs cope with the degeneracy of the genetic code in two manners: having more than one tRNA (with a specific anti-codon) for a particular amino acid; and 'wobble' base-pairing, i.e. permitting non-standard base-pairing at the 3rd anti-codon position. NCBI's taxonomy places the organism in Eukaryota, Fungi, Ascomycota, Leotiomycetes, Helotiales, Erysiphaceae. The record is from Rfam.